AGCGGGGUGGAGCAGUCUGGUAGCUCGUCGGGCUCAUAACCCGAAGGUCGAAGGUUCAAAUCCUUCCCCCGCCACCA
This 77-nucleotide transfer RNA is filed under the name SAR324 cluster bacterium. RNAcentral's name for it is "tRNA-Met". It matches the Rfam family "tRNA". Rfam says of the family: Transfer RNA (tRNA) molecules are approximately 80 nucleotides in length. Their secondary structure includes four short double-helical elements and three loops (D, anti-codon, and T loops). Further hydrogen bonds mediate the characteristic L-shaped molecular structure. tRNAs have two regions of fundamental functional importance: the anti-codon, which is responsible for specific mRNA codon recognition, and the 3' end, to which the tRNAs corresponding amino acid is attached (by aminoacyl-tRNA synthetases). tRNAs cope with the degeneracy of the genetic code in two manners: having more than one tRNA (with a specific anti-codon) for a particular amino acid; and 'wobble' base-pairing, i.e. permitting non-standard base-pairing at the 3rd anti-codon position. The record is from RNAcentral. RNAcentral also lists the same sequence under 3 other names. Lineage: Bacteria; Deltaproteobacteria.